GAUCAUGGCUCAGGAUGAACGCUAGCUACAGGCUUAACACAUGCAAGUCGAGGGGCAGCAUGGUCUUAGCUUGCUAAGGCUGAUGGCGACCGGCGCACGGGUGAGUAACACGUAUCCAACCUGCCGUCUACUCUUGGCCAGCCUUCUGAAAGGAAGAUUAAUCCAGGAUGGGAUCAUGAGUUCACAUGUCCGCAUGAUUAAAGGUAUUUUCCGGUUAGACGAUGGGGAG
This 229-nucleotide ribosomal RNA is filed under the name uncultured bacterium. RNAcentral's name for it is "partial 16S ribosomal RNA". It matches the Rfam family "Bacterial small subunit ribosomal RNA", at positions 15 to 232 of the family's 1533-position model. The record is from RNAcentral.